CCUACGGGGGGCAGCAGUGGGGGAUAUUGCACAAUGGGGGGAACCCUGAUGCAGCGACGCCGCGUGUGGGAAGACGGUCCUCUGGAUUGUAAACCACUGUCCCCAGGGACGAAAAUGACGGUACCUGGGGCGGAAGCUCCGGCUAACUACGUGCCAGCAGCCGCGGUAAUACGUAGGGAGCGAGCGUUGUCCGGAAUUACUGGGUGUAAAGGGAGCGUAGGCGGGGAUGCAAGUUGGGUGUCAAAACUACCGGCUCAACUGGUAGUCGCACUCAAAACUGCAGCCCUUGAGUGAAGUAGAGGCAGGCGGAAUUCCUAGUGUAGCGGUGAAAUGCGUAGAUAUUAGGAGGAACACCAGUGGCGAAGGCGGCCUGCUGGGCUUUUACUGACGCUGAGGCUCGAAAGUGUGGGAAGCAAACAGGAUUAGAUACCCCUGUAGUC
RNAcentral lists this ribosomal RNA (440 nucleotides) under uncultured bacterium. Its description in RNAcentral is "partial 16S ribosomal RNA". It matches the Rfam family "Bacterial small subunit ribosomal RNA", at positions 338 to 795 of the family's 1533-position model. The record is from RNAcentral.